AUUGAACGCUGGCGGCAGGCCUAACACAUGCAAGUCGAGCGGAUGAAGGGAGCUUGCUCCUGGAUUCAGCGGCGGACGGGUGAGUAAUGCCUAGGAAUCUGCCUGGUAGUGGGGGAUAACGUCCGGAAACGGGCGCUAAUACCGCAUACGUCCUGAGGGAGAAAGUGGGGGAUCUUCGGACCUCACGCUAUCAGGUGAGCCUAGGUCGGAUUAGCUAGUUGGUGGGGUAAAGGCCUACCAAGGCGACGAUCCGUAACUGGUCUGAGAGGAUGAUCAGUCACACUGGAACUGAGACACGGUCCAGACUCCUACGGGAGGCAGCAGUGGGGAAUCUUGGACGAUGGGCGAAAGCCUGAUCCAGCCAUGCCGCGUGUGUGAAGAAGGUCUUCGGAUUGUAAAGCACUUUAAGUUGGGAGGAAGGGCAGUAAGUUAAUCCCUUGCUGUUUUGACGUUACCAACAGAAUAAGCACCGGCUAACUUCGUG
This 484-nucleotide ribosomal RNA is filed under the name uncultured bacterium. RNAcentral's name for it is "partial 16S ribosomal RNA". It matches the Rfam family "Bacterial small subunit ribosomal RNA", at positions 30 to 507 of the family's 1533-position model. The record is from RNAcentral.